UCUCCCUCAUUAGUAUCUCCAUGUAUCUUUGGUGAAAUUGCUGGCUUUCGUUCUCCGCCUCUCGAUGCCUUUUCCUUAAGACUUUGGAUUUUGCCUCCACAUCCUUGACGGCCUGCUGCUCGUAUACCAGCUGGAUCUUCAACUGCUGCAGCUCGACCUUCCCCUCCCCAAGGGCGAUAGAUAGCUCUUCUGCGGUUCUUCUCAGGGAUUGGAGUUCGCUGGAAUCUCG
Molecule: long non-coding RNA, 229 nt
Filed under: Elaeis guineensis (African oil palm)
Lineage: Eukaryota; Viridiplantae; Streptophyta; Magnoliopsida; Arecales; Arecaceae
Description: long non-coding RNA (EGUI_LNC015408)
Source: RNAcentral